GGGAUGAGAGAGAGAGAGAGAGGAGAGAGAGAGAUGGACCUCUUCUGCGUCGGCUGCCACAUCCUCCUCCUCCUCCUCCCGCCUUUCACGGCGACUGCCGGAGGAGGCUACGCGGAGGACCACAGCGCUCUGCUUUCCAUCAAAACCGGCCUUGCCGAUUCUGGCGCAGUCGCGCUCGCCGCCUGGGGCAACGCCACCAACCACUGCUCCUGGUCGUGCGUCACCUGCGAUAGCAGAGGCUCAGUCGUCGCUCUCGAUCUGUCUGGAAGAAACCUCUCUGGACUCCUCCCCCCGGCUGUCGGCCGCCUCCGCUUCCUCUUUCACCUUUCCGUCGCCGGCAACUCCUUCUCCGGCGCCAUUCCUCCGGAGCUCUCCUUCCUUACCUCCCUUCGUUACCUCAACCUCUCCAACAACAUUUUCAACGGAUCGUUUCCACCGGCCCUCGGCCGCCUCGCGCGGCUCCGCGUCCUCGACCUCUACAACAAUAACCUCACCGGGCCGCUUCCCCCUGCGGCGGCGGCUAUGUCCCAGCUCCGUCACAUCCACCUUGGGGGCAACUAUUUCUCCGGUUCUAUUCCGCAGGAGUACGGCAGCUGGAUGUUCCUCAAGUACCUUGCGCUCUCCGGCAACGAGCUCAGUGGCCCUAUUCCCUCGGAGAUCGGCAACCUCUCUGCGCUACGCGAGCUCUACAUCGGCUACUACAAUAGCUACGAGGGCAGCCUCCCGGCGGAGAUCGGCAACCUCUCUUCACUCGUCCGCUUCGAUGCCGGAAACUGCGGUCUCUCCGGCCGCAUCCCGCCCGAGAUUGGCAACCUCCAGAGCCUGGAUAGCCUCUUCCUCCAGGUGAAUGGCCUUUCCGGCGAGAUCCCGCUGGAGUUUGGGCGACUGAAGAGCCUCAAGUCCCUCGACCUCUCCAACAAUGCCCUCACGGGAGAGAUUCCUCCGAGUUUUGCCGAGCUCAGCAACCUCACCCUCCUCAACCUCUUCCGUAACAAGCUCUUCGGUGCCAUCCCGGAGUUCGUCGGGGACCUCCCCCAGCUCGAGGUGCUCCAGGUGUGGGAAAACAACUUUACCGGAAGCAUCCCUCGACGGCUUGGUACGAACGGGCACCUUCAGCUCCUCGACUUUUCGUCGAACAAGCUCACUGGUGCGCUACCUUCGGACCUUUGCUACGGCAACAAGCUUGAGACAUUGAUCGCCCUCAGUAACUUUCUCUUCGGUCCGAUUCCGGACUCCCUUGGCCGCUGCGAAUCCUUGAGCCGCAUCAGAAUGGGGGAGAACUACCUCAAUGGAACCAUCCCCCAGGGCCUAUUUACCUUGCCGAAUCUGUCUCAGGUGGAGUUCCAAGGCAAUCUUCUCUCCGGCGGGUUUCCCAACACCGGCAACUCUUCGAUCUCUCCUACUCUCGGUCAAAUUUGCCUCUCGAACAACCGUCUAACUGACCCCUUGCCUCCGUCUAUUGGGAACUUCCCCGGCCUUCAGAAGUUGCUGUUGAACCAGAACUUUUUUAUCGGCAGCAUCCCGCCCGAGAUCGGGAAGCUUCAGCAACUCUCGAAACUGGAUCUCAGCGGGAACCGGUUCUCGGGCUCUAUUGCGCCGCAAAUUACCAAGUGUCAGCUUCUGACAUUUAUGGAUCUUAGUAGAAACGAACUCUCCGGCGAUGUUCCGGCCGAGAUUGCAGACAUGCGGAUCUUGAACUACCUCAACUUGUCGAGGAAUCAUCUCGAGGGCCAAAUUCCAGCCGCCAUCUCGUCAAUGCAAAGCUUGACGGCUGUGGAUUUCUCCUACAACAACCUCUCCGGUGUCGUCCCGAGCACCGGCCAGUUUAGCUACUUCAAUGCCACUUCCUUCAUCAGUAAUCCAGAUCUAUGUGGCCCUUAUCUUGGCCCGUGCCAGUCAGGGAUCUUGCACCCUGCUCGUGCCAAAGGAGCCCUCUCGGCAUCCUUCAAGUUUUUGCUAGUCAUCAGCGUCCUUAUCUGCUCUUUUGUCUUCGCCAUUGCGGCCAUUGUUAAGGCCCGGUCUUUGAAGAAGGCUAACAAUGCCCGUGCAUGGAAGUUCACCACCUUUCAGCGGCUGGAUUUCACAUCCGACGAUGUGCUGAACUGCUUGAAGGAGGAGAACAUAAUAGGCAAAGGAGGGGCUGGAAUAGUUUACAAGGGUGUCAUGCCUGAUGGCAAACAAGUAGCAGUUAAGAGGCUUCUGGCGAUGAGCCGAGGAUCAUCACAUGAUCAUGGAUUCAAUGCAGAGAUUCAGACUCUUGGAAGGAUUCGCCACCGGCACAUUGUGAGGCUGUUGGGCUUUUGCUCCAACCAUGAGACUAAUCUUUUGGUGUAUGAGUAUAUGCCUAAUGGCAGCCUUGGGGAGGUUCUCCAUGGCAAGAAAGGUGGGCAUUUGCACUGGGAUACAAGGUAUAAGAUUGCCGUAGAGGCAGCAAAGGGUCUUUGCUAUCUCCACCAUGAUUGCUCGCCAUUGAUCCUCCAUCGAGACGUCAAAUCCAACAACAUCCUCUUGGGUUCCAACUUUGAUGCUCAUGUGGCCGACUUUGGACUUGCCAAGUUCUUGCAGACCUCAGGCACCUCCGAGUGCAUGUCAGCCAUUGCUGGUUCUUAUGGUUACAUUGCUCCAGAGUAUGCCUACACCCUCAAGGUGGACGAGAAGAGUGAUGUUUACAGUUUCGGUGUUGUUCUUCUAGAACUAGUAACCGGGAGAAAGCCCGUUGGUGAAUUUGGCGAGGGAGUAGACAUUGUUCAAUGGGUUAGAAAGAUGACCGGCUCCGACAAGGAACAAGUGAUCAAAAUCCUGGAUCCAAGGCUUCCAUCUCUUCCCAUCCAUGAGUCGAUGCACGUCUUCUACGUCGCUAUGCUCUGCGUGGAGGAGCAGAGCAUCGAGCGACCAACAAUGAGGGAGGUAGUCCAGAUACUCAGCGAGCUCCCAAAGCCUCCACUGAAGCAAGGAGAAGACUCCUCCAGUGGCAAUCGGGCCUCCUCACAGUCACCAGCCAAGGAAAUGGAAACUGAAGAGCAGCAGCAAGAACAACUACCAGCUUCCACUUCACCACCAUCAGAUUUCCUUAGCAUCUAGUGCUGUCGAAUUAAGGGUGCAGCUGAUUUUGGGCUAUCCUGCAACGCCCCCUCACAUGAACUCUUGAAUCAAAUGCUCUCCUCCUCCGUGUUGGUCCUGAAACAGAUUGAGGGGUGCUGAGAGUUAACGUAUUCAUCUUUUACCAUCAUCUUGAAUCAAAUGCUCUCUCUGAAGUCUGAAGAGCAAGCUCUGCCCCCUCUGUAAAUGCAGUCUGAUGGAAGUAAGGACAGUUGAUUGGCAUUUUCAAAUACUGCAAGUUCGUGCUUAGCUUUGCUCUGUAGCUUGCCCUCUGUAGUAUGGUGGCCAUCUACUUCACCUGUUCAUGAAUAGUUGCAGCCUGGAGUAUUUAAUGGUGGAACCAGUCAUUUGGAGAGUUUGAGCAGAUGGUCCCAAGAAGGUAGUGCCCGUAGGCAAAGGCCAUGGUACAGAGAUACAACGAAGUAAAAAAACAAAUAGCAGAAGACUGCAACAGCGCACAGUUUGUGUAGAAUGGGCAAUUUGGCAGCAUCCACUCCAAAUGCAGUCUCACACUCUCACUACAUGAUACACCAAAUGGACUAGGGCCAGAAAUAAAAGUUUAUAAAGAAUUUAUUUAUAUAAAAAUAUUUUAUAUUUAAUAUUUUUUUUAUCAAGUUUUAUAGUAGUAAAUUC
Zingiber officinale is the source of this 3732-nucleotide RNA transcript. It is a transcript of the gene named leucine-rich repeat receptor-like serine/threonine-protein kinase BAM1, with no coding region annotated. The record is from RefSeq and is a predicted model, not a curated record. The transcript has 4 exons. Lineage: Eukaryota; Viridiplantae; Streptophyta; Magnoliopsida; Zingiberales; Zingiberaceae.